Yersinia mollaretii ATCC 43969 is the source of this 73-nucleotide non-coding RNA. Lineage: Bacteria; Pseudomonadati; Pseudomonadota; Gammaproteobacteria; Enterobacterales; Yersiniaceae. The record is from Rfam.
GGGGCUAUAGCUCAGCUGGGAGAGCGCCUGCCUUGCACGCAGGAGGUCAGCGGUUCGAUCCCGCUUAGCUCCA